This is a non-coding RNA of Oncorhynchus mykiss (rainbow trout), 2102 nucleotides long. The record is from RefSeq and is a predicted model, not a curated record. NCBI's taxonomy places the organism in Eukaryota, Metazoa, Chordata, Actinopteri, Salmoniformes, Salmonidae.
GUGAGAGAGGAACAUCAGCUCAGUGAGAGAGGAACAUCAGCUCAGUGAGAGAGGAACAUCAGCUCUCAGUCAGCUCAGUGAGAGAGGAACAUCAGCUCUAAGUCAGCUCAGUGAGAGAGGAACAUCAGCUCAGUGAGACAGGAACAUCAGCUCUCAGUCAGCUCAGUGAGAGAGGAGCAUCAGCUCUCAGUCAGCUCAUUAAAAGAGAGGAGCAUCAGCUCUCAGUCAGCUCAGUGAGAGAGGAACAUCAGCUCUCAGUCAGCUCAGUGAGAAAGGAACUACAGCUCUCAGUCAGCUCAGUGAGAGAGGAACAUCAGCUCUGUGAGACAGGAACAUCAGCUCAGUGAGAGAGGAACAUCAGCUCAGUGAGAGAGGAACAUCAGCUCAGUGAGAGAGGAACAUCAGCUCAGUGAGAGAGGAACAUCAGCUCUCAGUCAGCUCAGUGAGAGAGGAACAUCAGCUCUAAGUCAGCUCAGUGAGAGAGGAACAUCAGCUCAGUGAGACAGGAACAUCAGCUCUCAGUCAGCUCAGUGAGAGAGAAGCAUCAGCUCUCAGUCAGCUCAGUGAGAGAGGAACAUCAGCUCUAAGUCAGCUCAGUGAGAGAGGAACAUCAGCUCAGUGAGACAGGAACAUCAGCUCUCAGUCAGCUCAGUGAGAGAGGAACAUCAGCUCUAAGUCAGCUCAGUGAGAGAGGAACAUCAGCUCAGUGAGACAGGAACAUCAGCUCUCAGUCAGCUCAGUGAGAGAGGAACAUCAGCUCAGUGAGUCAGGAACAUCAGCUCUCAGUCAGCUCAGAUGAACACUCACACAGAGGGAACAGUGGAAGUGCAUUGUAGAUUGUAAGAUUGCAAUAUUUAUAUAUAAAUGUAUUACAGAGAAGUUGAUGUAAAUAAAAUGCUUCAGAGUGCUAGUUGAUAAGAGCAGGUCACUAGCCAACAUGAGGAUUUUGGUACAUUUUACAGUGGAAAGGGAGGUAUGUUAUACACAGUAUUUCUACCGUUGCCAUGUUAAAGUGUUUCUUUUUUAUUUUCGUGGUUCUUUAUGGUUCAGUUCAAGAUGUUGAAUCUAAGUGCUUGUAAUUGUACAGGGUAAGAAUUGGUUUGCCUCUCCAUUCAGAUGAAAGUGGUGGCAAAUCUUACACACCAAAUCCAGAGCUCGUACUUACAGGGGUAGGCAACUCCAGUCCUCGGGGGCCUGACUGGUGUCACACGUUUUCUCCAUCCCCAGCAAACACAGCUGAUUAAUCAAAUGUCAUUCUAAACUGAACAUCAUGAUUAGGUGAAUGUUGGAGUCAGGGGUGUUAGCUGGGACUGGGACAAAACUGUGACACCAAUCAGGCCCCCCGAGGACUGGAAUCGCCCAUCCCUGUUAAACAUAGAGAGUAGAACAUAGGCACAGGAAUGGAAAUCAGAUUCCAGCGAUGAGAACUGCGUAGAGACAAUUAUAUACGACUGACCACGACGUGCAUUGAACUUGUUGACCACAAUGAUCCAAGACUUGAAUGGAUUUUCAAACUGUAACCGUAAGUUCCGGAACAGAUCUCCUCACAGAUCCUCAAGGCGUCCACCAAAGCAAUAGGACAUGGAACCUGAAGAUGAUGAUCAAUGGAAUCCUGUUAUGUUACACCUCAAAACACAACAACAGAUGUGAAGUCUAGGCUCGUUUCAUGAAGCGUCAGAACAGUAAUACGAACGCGUUUUCUUUUGUGGUUAUGCGAUGCGAUCAAAACCUCCCAUUUUGUUUUCGUUGUAGUGAAGUAAAAGUACUUGGUAAGUAGAUCAAGUGUUUCCCCGAGCAGUGAAGAAUGGGACUGAAAAGCAAUAUGUCCUGCUGAGCCUCUGGAGUUUCUACUCAAGUCCUUGUCAUUGUUUUCUCUGAACAGAACAGAAAGUGAAGCAAACAGACUUCCUAAUAUGGAUGCCGUACAUUGUGUUGAGUGAACCAUAGAUGUUAGUUCAUUUCUGAUCUCCUUUCUUUUCCUUUUUCCGUAUUUUUGAUUAUUUUUUUUUCACAGUUAUGUUUUAAAAUGCAAGGGUUUUGUGGACGUGGACAAUAAAGAGAUCUAUGUAUAUAAAUGCCUUGAAAUGUUCCCCUUAAACCUG